CCUUAGGGUUUGAUCCUGGUUCAGGACGAACGCUGGCGGCGUGCCUAAUACAUGCAAGUCGAGCGGACCGACGGGAGCUUGCUCCCUUAGGUCAGCGGCGGACGGGUGAGUAACACGUGGGUAACCUGCCUGUAAGACUGGGAUAACUCCGGGAAACCGGGGCUAAUACCGGAUGCUUGAUUGAACCGCAUGGUUCAAUCAUAAAAGGUGGCUUUUAGCUACCACUUGCAGAUGGACCCGCGGCGCAUUAGCUAGUUGGUGAGGUAACGGCUCACCAAGGCGACGAUGCGUAGCCGACCUGAGAGGGUGAUCGGCCACACUGGGACUGAGACACGGCCCAGACUCGUACGGGAGGCAGCAGUAGGGAAUCUUCCGCAAUGGACGAAAGUCUGACGGAGCAACGCCGCGUGAGUGAUGAAGGUUUUCGGAUCGUAAAACUCUGUUGUUAGGGAAGAACAAGUACCGUUCGAAUAGGGCGGUACCUUGACGGUACCUAACCAGAAAGCCACGGCUAACUACGUGCCAGCAGCCGCGGUAAUACGUAGGUGGCAAGCGUUGUCCGGAAUUAUUGGGCGUAAAGCGCGCGCAGGCGGUUUCUUAAGUCUGAUGUGAAAGCCCCCGGCUCAACCGGGGAGGGUCAUUGGAAACUGGGGAACUUGAGUGCAGAAGAGGAGAGUGGAAUUCCACGUGUAGCGGUGAAAUGCGUAGAGAUGUGGAGGAACACCAGUGGCGAAGGCGACUCUCUGGUCUGUAACUGACGCUGAGGCGCGAAAGCGUGGGGAGCGAACAGGAUUAGAUACCCUUGUAGUCCCACCGCCGUAAACCUAUAAAGUUGGUAAGUGUUAGAGGGUUUCCCGCCCCUUUAGUGCUGCAGCAAAACGCCAUU
This 886-nucleotide ribosomal RNA is filed under the name Bacillus licheniformis. RNAcentral's name for it is "bacterial SSU rRNA". It matches the Rfam family "Bacterial small subunit ribosomal RNA", at positions 1 to 862 of the family's 1533-position model. Lineage: Bacteria; Bacillati; Bacillota; Bacilli; Caryophanales; Bacillaceae. The record is from RNAcentral.